CGGUUUUACCAGAGCUUGGAGAUGACGUCGUCUCCAAGCGCCGGCCAGAAGACACUGCACUCGGGUGCUGUGUAAACGGCGCUGACCCAGGAUAUUCCCGGGUUGGCGCCGUUGUGGAAAUGAGGUCCGUCUCGGGUGUGACCUGGCUUGGAACCGUGUUCCAAAUCCUGGGUCAGACCAGAGACUUCUAGUAAAAAAGGGGUACCUAUUUAAUGGCCAUGCCAUUUGUCGACUGGUCGAAAAAUAUGCCCGGGCGAAAACCACGUGUUUGACUGUUUUGGGUCCGCUAUUGAAACACGGAGGUCGAAUUAGUGCCGAUUUUCAGACUUUCUGAAUAUUUGGCACUAAUUGAAUAUACCACAGAAAUGUUCAUUGAUAACCUUGGCCAGUAACUGAGGCGCCCACAGCUCUCAGCUCAACUGAGAAAAUGCAAUCUUACAGUUCCUGCAGUUCCAUUAGACGCCCCAUCCCGCAGUUAGACUUCUGGAGCUUGUACUUACCAGAACCGGACAAGCACAGCUGCCAGAUUUAAACCAGAACGCUGCCAAUUGUGGAGUAUAAUAAACAUAACUUAGAAGAAGCGAAGCUGGAAAGAUCUCCCUAACCAACUGGGCUAUUUCUUUGUUUUAAGUACAGUAUAAUAUUUGUUAUUCACAUGUAUUCUAAGUUUUGAAUUUAACUUUUUUGCUCUUUAAAAAUCACAAAAUGUUCUAUAAGAAAAUAUUUAAAAAUAUAUUUUGUGUACAGAGAAAUUGCCUUUGCUGCACAUUGUGCUUUAUAAAUAGUAGUAGCUGUGAUUUUACUCAGAAGAAAAAGUAUAGACAUUAACUGAACCUUAAACAAGUAAACGUCAGUGCUGCAUAGGUGACAUCCGCCACUGUAUACAAUACACAAUCAAUGAAGUAAACAGGCAUAGAAGCCAUUCUGCAGAGAAAUUAACUGCAGAUGUGUCAUCAUACACCUAUACCUUUUGCGCCAUAUGGCGUGAAACACCUGGCGGAAUUACCAUGCUGUGUACUUUUCAUCAAUUUUGCAUUUUUAAAAAGUCACAAAUCAUGUACUACUGUAGGGGCUUAGUAUUAGUUUCCUGAUGUAUAGGAAUUGGUAUUUAGUGGCACAUUAAGCAUAAUGAUUGAUGGCAUUGGUCAUUCGUAUCGGACCUGACUUGCCUUUUUACCCUGCAUUGUUUACCUUUUUCUCACCUUCACUACUUUCCUUUGUUGUACUAUUUUUUUCUUACAUUUUCUAUCUUUGUUUGCUUAUAGUGUACUGGGUACUACUUACGCUUAGUGUUUUGGCAUGGCUAAGUAGCAAAGUAUGUGGUGGGAUGAACGAGGCUAUCUAGUGUGAGUGGAGGAUAGGUUCAUGUGAACACACUGCAUAUUGGCGCUGACAUUUGAUACAAGCAGCCAUAUUGUUACUGAAGCUCUGGGUAAGGUGAAUACCUUAAAGAUUUUACAGAAUUUUUUUAUUCAGGCAAAAUGCCUAUUUUCUCUAAUUCAUACUAUAGAUGAAUACAACCUACCAGGGGUUGCAUAAUAGCCAUUACAGGUGUGUCCUCAUACACUGGUGCUUCAUUCGCGUCAAACAAAACCUCUCAGAUGCACCGGGAAACGGGCGACUCGGCCGAGCCAAGUGUCUUUCGCUCACAAUGCGAGUCUUAUUUUCACAAAUAAAACAAAACUGCAUUGCUA
Pseudophryne corroboree (corroboree frog) is the source of this 1694-nucleotide long non-coding RNA. RefSeq lists it as uncharacterized. NCBI's taxonomy places the organism in Eukaryota, Metazoa, Chordata, Amphibia, Anura, Myobatrachidae. The transcript has 3 exons. The record is from RefSeq and is a predicted model, not a curated record.